GAUCAUGGCUCAGGAUGAACGCUGGCGGCGUGCCUAGCACAUGCAAGUCGAGCGAAGCACUUUGCUUAGAUUCUUCGGAUGAAGAGGAUUGUGACUGAGCGGCGGACGGGUGAGUAACGCGUGGGUAACCUGCCUCAUACAGGGGGAUAACAGUUAGAAAUGGCUGCUAAUACCGCAUAAGACCACCAGCACCGCCAUGGUGCGGGGUAAAACGUACCGUGGU
RNAcentral lists this ribosomal RNA (223 nucleotides) under uncultured bacterium. RNAcentral describes it as "partial 16S ribosomal RNA". It matches the Rfam family "Bacterial small subunit ribosomal RNA", at positions 15 to 219 of the family's 1533-position model. The record is from RNAcentral.